This is a long non-coding RNA of Neopsephotus bourkii (Bourke's parrot), 2750 nucleotides long. RefSeq lists it as uncharacterized. NCBI's taxonomy places the organism in Eukaryota, Metazoa, Chordata, Aves, Psittaciformes, Psittacidae. The transcript has 6 exons. The record is from RefSeq and is a predicted model, not a curated record.
AGGAAAGGAGGACGUGUUGGGUUUAAACACCACCCCUGUGAUCAAAUGAAAUUGACAGAUAUUAGCCAAGUGUUCAGGAGUAUACAGGAAAAUAAAAGGCAGCUCAGGAAUCAGGAAAGACAAGAAUGGGGACCAGCUCCCCAGUACUCCCUAUGAGGCGAAGAAGGUCUUUGUUCUCUCUUGGAGGUGGUACUGGAGGACACCACAGCCCAGGUUAAGACAUAGGUUUGGUGAUGUGGGGAGAAAGAGGACUUUGAGAAAUGUAAUAACAAGUAGAUUGGGUUGUUAUUGAGAGGUGAUCUAUGGGAAUGCUGCUGAGGUUGGUGGUGUAUGGUGAGUGCAGCUCUUGGGCAAGAGGCAGCCUCCUUUUGCAGUGCUUCCUCCUCAAGUAGGAAGCCAAAAAGUGCAGUAAACAAUGGGAAAUCUUUCGAAGAAGUCAAGCUACGUUAAGAAAAAACCCAUAAUGCCGUGAAAAUUACCAGUAUUUAGUCCAGGCUGUUUAGGCAGAAAAACGGUCAUAGGAGUUGUGGAAAACUGAGCCAAAUAAACAGAUGGGAUCUUCUAGUCCAGCUGGAAGAACUACUCUUCUGUGCCAGGUUCAAAUAGAGGAUUUCAGAGCUAGAAAAAAAUCUACAGAGAAAUUCCUCAAGAAGGGAGAGUCUGCAGUUAAGUUAGGAAUUAACUAGCCAAACACUGAUUUCAGGGUAUUUUGUUAUCCUUAUUGGCUAUGAGGCAUUCAAAUAUAAAAAGUUAAGGAGCAGUGGCUGAACAUCUGCUCAGGGGGAAUGAACUCAAAAGGACAGUAAUUGUAGUGGGAGAUAAGGCCACACCAGUCUCAAGAAUGAAAGCACUUCUCAUCACUUUCUUAGCUUUCAGUUAUAUGACUGCCUGAAAAAUAACUUGUUAGUCAGAAGACUUGCUUCUUGCCAGAUAUAAGCACUAUCCAAGUAGAGAAGUGCUGUGAAGAAGAGUUAUACAACAGAGGAAGAAGUACUGAGCUUAUAAGGUAAAUGAAAAGAUGAAAAAAUAAAGUGAACAAUCAAAAAUCUGCUGCACUUGGGAGUGAGUAGCAAAAUCCAUAUGUGCCUGUUUGCUGACACAGGAUUAGGAAGAAGGCUGCAAUUCUGUAUGCUUGGUCGGCACAAAAUGUGCUCGGAAGGGAAGCUUAGGAAAAAUCCUUUUCAGAUAUUUUCAGGGAGAAUGAGGAUUACGCCUUAUCCUGACUGCCCUCUAUAUGUACCCAGGGGAUAUUGGUCACAUGGGAAUAUUUCUGUUCCAUGCCUCAGAAGAGCCAUGACGGUUGGACAUGCAUAGUCCUGAUUAAAAUUCUAUCACCAUAAUAACUUUUAAUAUUCUAUUUAAAUUUGUGGCAGCUCUGGAAGUGUCUAUCAGAAAAAGACCAUCUGUGGGAAAGAAGAAAAAAGCAAAUUGCAGCGCAGAAACUGAGAGCUGUGAUGAGAUUGUCCUGCCAUUUCAAACUGAGGUAAGGAGAGCUUAAACUGAAAAUGGUGAGAGUCUGAGGGUGUGUGACUUACUAAUACUGGUUGGAGUAUCUGGCUGGGAAGGGUGGGUCUUAUUUUUCUUUUCUUACUUAAGAAAGUUUCUGUAUAUUUCCCCUGUGGCUGAGGGCAUGUUCUUCUAUACAAGGACCCACACAUAGGAGCAGGACUCUUAACUCAAUAGGUUAUUGAUUCAUGCUCUCAUUCUUAGCUGGUCAGAUAAAUCUUUCCUGGAGAGCCCUGCAGGGUGCUUAGAAGAUUCUCCAGAGAAGUAUUUGGGUUUUGAAUCCCCAAAGCAGAUGAGACUGUUCAGUGUGCUUUCUGUGGCUCCUAGGUGAAUAAGAGCUAUCACUGUUGGGUCUUCUGAAAACAAAUGGAAGCUUCACUGUUGUCUCUGUGAAGAUUAACCUGCUAGGAGUACUUUGAGACUAGUGGAUUUAACCUUUAAAGGGAGAGGAAUACUUGAUUUACACAGACUGCGAAUUUAAGCAUGAGAAUGGUGGUGGGCACCAUUGCAAAUGUAUGUUUGAGUACUUUAUACAUCACUUAGCAUACUUCAAGUAUAUAUGCAUUAAUAUGUAAGUAAUCUGUGGAGUCUGGGUAUCUCCUGGAGACAGGUGAACUCCCCCAAAAAAUAGAAAAUGAAGCUUUCUAAGGGCCAUCUCUCUCAUCUGCAUUAUUAGUAUACUGAGAAUGGUCUUCAAGAAAAAUUGAAAUAAUGUUUAAAGUUAGAAAGGCAUAUUUAUGAAAGGUAGAUUGCUAACUUGCAACUAACCUUUGAGGUCAACUGGAAAUGAAAAUGUUUCAGAGAACAAAUACUGCUAAGCUGCUGCCCUUUUAGCUUCUAUUUCUAAAUAAAGGCUCAAAGAGGUCCCCUUCUGAAAGACUGAAGGUCUUAAAGACCUUCUGAGUGGUGUUUUCAGUCUGUAGAUCAGACACUAUUUCUGAUGGGCCUGCAAAUGCUUGGUAUGGGCCUGCAAAUGCUGAGACCCUUGUCUCUACCUUUCCUUUAGAAGUUGCUAUACUUCUACUGAAUGUAUUUAGAGAAAGAAAGAGCAUUUGUGUCAGGUAUGUUUUAAAUGUCAGUUCAUUUAUUUUAUGCUUUACUUUUUAAAGUGUGUUUUCAGCUUCAUAAUCUGGGACAUAAUCUUUUCUUUUGCAAGAAUAAGUUUUACUGCUUUUAUUAUUAAACUUGUCUAAGGGGAGCUGAGACAAAUCUGAGCUUCAAGGUUCUUGCAUUGGCAAGGAGGU